AGUUGGUGGAGUGAUUUGUCUGCUUAAUUGCGAUAACGAACGAGACCUUAACCUGCUAAAUAGCCCGUAUUGCUUUGGCAGUACGCUGGCUUCUUAGAGGGACUAUCGGCUCAAGCCGAUGGAAGUUUGAGGCAAUAACAGGU
Molecule: ribosomal RNA, 143 nt
Filed under: uncultured fungus
Lineage: Eukaryota; Fungi
Description: partial small subunit ribosomal RNA
Rfam family: Eukaryotic small subunit ribosomal RNA
Source: RNAcentral